GUUUGGGUGGUCCGGGCACACCACGAUCUGCUCUAACCCCUCCACUCCUGAGGGGGCUGGAGGGGGAUCCAUCACCCCUUCCUGGUUACUGCCUCCACCUCUGAUCCAGCAGAACAAACCUCUCCUCCUGUGCCAGGACUGCUGGUGCUCCCAACCUGACCCCAGCUGCUGGUGUGUCCAUCUCCCCUGUGCUGCCCGCUGGAGCAUGCUCCCUCCUCUGCUCGCCAGGUGCCUUCCUGAAGGGACAGACCUCCAAAAGGUUUCCACCACUUCCUCCCACAGCAGUUUUACCACUUCUCUCUCCCCUGAACCGGACAUCUCUGUGCAUCCUUUACGUGGCAGAUGGUACAGCCAUGUUUGCCUGUACCCUCGCACAGUCACCCUGAACUCCAGCUGCGGAUGCACAGCCAUGAGGUUUCUGAUGGAAGUGUGGAGAGGACUCCUUGUUGAGGAAUAGCCCUUUGAAAUUAAAGAUGUCGAUUGAGAAGGAGGCUCUGAAUAUCUGGAGAACACAGUCCUACCCAUCACCCCCUGGUACAACCCUGGAUAUAGAGCAGGGUCAGUGCUGUGAGUGUCUUCUUUCUUUUACAAGGCCAGCUUUUUUUGGUGUGUGAUAGUAUGGUCAGUGACACUGGCAAAAAGUCAAAUUUAGGAGCCUACUUAGGGACACAGGCACUGUUGCUGUGUGAAAUCCUGCCUGCAUCCAUAGUAUUACAUAAAAUCACAUACCACAUAAAUUUAAAUGAUUUUUGAUACAUGAUUUCUGCUAGUACACACCAAAACUGAGCAAACUUGCUUCAAGCUCCAGACUAUUUUAUAAGAUAAAGUGGUGCAAGGAGCACCAUGAAAAAGGAAGUUUUAGGGCUUUGUCUAUUAUUCUGAUUCUCUAAGUUAAGAUGGCCAGAAUAAAGGAAGCAUAAACUAAUUCAUUAAAUCAUUGUGUAAUUACAAUUUUAUAAACUGAUUUUAAAAAUGUAAUCUAACAUAGUAUUUUAAACUGGAAAAAAUGUGAUGAUGCUUGGUUUCAGACUGCAACAUCCAUAAAGUUGUAAGACACAGUCAUUUGGAACAGCAUCUCACAGACUGCAGUCACUAAAACAGAUGUUUUGGAUCUUACCCGGACAGGAAGCAAAUGUCCUAGUGAAAAAACAAGAGAUUAUUCCCUUACUUCCCUGCUUUGCUGCAUCAUCACUUAAAAAUAUCCAGUUAUAAUAAAUUGGAGAUCUAUUUGAUCUGAAAAUGCUAGAAAUUGGAUGGAGGUAAAAGGCACACGCAGAGGGUGCUGUGACACCUGGUGACAGAAUUCAGCUCUGCUAGAGAAAUUCUGGAAUGCAGUGUCUAUUCAGAGAAAGUGAGACAAAUCCUUCCAGGUAGCUAUGGAGCAAACAAACAUGUUAAUAUUGGGAUAAGCCACUCAUCCAGUAUUUGCUCCCAUAGCAAUGCAUCCUACAAGAAACUCCAAUGCCUGUGUAUAGGGUGAGCUCCUGUGGGGGCAUAAACUCUGAAACCAUCUGGCCUUCCUGGGCUCCUCCUCAGGCAAUGCACCCCUCCCUUAGAACCUGCUCUGGUCAACACUUCCUCUCAAGCCCUCGAUUUUGGCCCUCACAUGCUAAACAUCCAGGACUGCAAAAGACACAUUGCUGGCUCUGCUGGUAGGUCACCUCCUCCAGCCCACUCCACAGACAGCAGGCUCCAUGCUCUGCUCAUGCUCUUUGUUUGGUGUCCCUGCCUGACUCACAGAGCUGGGUAUGGUGUGGAUGAGAGGAA
Molecule: long non-coding RNA, 1767 nt
Organism: Cyanistes caeruleus (blue tit)
Lineage: Eukaryota; Metazoa; Chordata; Aves; Passeriformes; Paridae
Source: RefSeq, a predicted model, not a curated record